GUGAAUCAUCGAAUUUUUGAACGCAAAUUGCGCUUCCUGGCAUCCCGGGAAGUAUGCCUGUUUGAGGGUCAGUAUUAAUAAAAACUCGGUUUAUUUGCAAAUUGUUACGUUUCCGGAGUUUUGGCAAUCUUAACAUUUUUGGUUAAGAUGCUUAGAAUUGACCUUUUUUGCGCAUUUUUAAACGUACAUAAAUUUUGUUUAUUCGUCUAUUCUUAGUGCCAAUGGCUUAUUAGAUGCGAUCACAUCGUGUGUCUUCAUGUCCAUAAAGUGUUCAUGAUUU
RNAcentral lists this unclassified non-coding RNA (280 nucleotides) under Glomeraceae sp. RNAcentral's name for it is "partial contains 5.8S ribosomal RNA and internal transcribed spacer 2". The stretch from base 1 to 71 matches the Rfam family "5.8S ribosomal RNA", at positions 84 to 154 of the family's 154-position model. The record is from RNAcentral. Lineage: Eukaryota; Fungi; Glomeromycota; Glomeromycetes; Glomerales; Glomeraceae.